This is a non-coding RNA of Aerococcus viridans, 365 nucleotides long. Lineage: Bacteria; Bacillati; Bacillota; Bacilli; Lactobacillales; Aerococcaceae. The record is from Rfam.
GGGGGUGUUAUUGGAUUCGACAGGCAUGGCCCGAUGUAUGACUACUGCUCGGAGGUUACGUCUUCGCAACAACGUUACCAGUUUAAAUAUAACUGACAAACAAGAAACAAACACUUUAGCUUUCGCUGCCUAAUAACAGCUAGCUAAGAUUCGCCCGGCGUCACCUAUGCGCUGGUUCCGAGUCCUAUUAUAGUAGGUUACGUUCUAAGCUUCCGUCUGGAGCAAGGAAAAGAGAUUAAUCAGACUAGCAAUCUAAUUGGUUUGUUUAUUCACCAUUAGUGCGCAAAUUCGAGAAUAAACUAUAGUGGUAAAAGUUAUAUAAUCGGAGUGUCUGGACAGGGGUUCAAAUCCCCUCACCUCCAUAA